Molecule: ribosomal RNA, 776 nt
Filed under: uncultured Neocallimastigales
Lineage: Eukaryota; Fungi; Neocallimastigomycota; Neocallimastigomycetes; Neocallimastigales
Description: partial large subunit ribosomal RNA
Rfam family: Eukaryotic large subunit ribosomal RNA
Source: RNAcentral
AGAGAGAGACAUGCGCGCAUAUCAAUAAGCGGAGGAAAAGAAACUAACAAGGAUUCCCCUAGUAACGGCGAGUGAAGCGGGAAGAGCUCGAAUUUGAAAUCUUAAAGGGUUUCCCUUUACGAAUUGUAGUUUAAAGAAGUGUUUUCUGUUGAGGUUUUGGUAAAAGUUCUUUGGAAUAGGACAUCAUAGAGGGUGAGAAUCCCGUAUUUGACCUUUACUUUCAACUUUGUGAUACACUUUCAAAGAGUCGGAUUGUUUGGGAAUGCAGUCCAAAAUGGGUGGUAAAUUUCAUCUAAAGCUAAAUAUUGGCGAGGAGACCGAUAGCGAACAAGUACCGUGAGGGAAAGAUGAAAAGAACUUUGAAAAGAGAGUUAAACAGUACGUGAGAUUGUCAAAAGGGAAGCGUUUGACACCAGUGUUGUUUUUCUGAAAAUCAAUUAAAGAACUGUUUAUGCUAAGUUGUUUAGACUUUAUCAGCUAACUGUUUAGUUUUGAGCUUUUCUUUAAUGCACUUUUCAGUUAACAAGUCAACAUCAAUUUCUUUUGCUGUAAAAAAAGCUUGAGGAAGGUGGCUUGAGAUUCGUCUUAAGUGUUUAUAGCCUCUUGCCUAUGCAGUCGGAGAGAUUGAGGUCUGCAGCGUAGAUCCUUCGGGGCUAAAUGCAUUUGUGCUAAGUUAUAGCAUUUUAUAGACAACUUGUUGACUAUGAUUUGUCUUGUAGCUUACUCGCUUAUGUUAUUUUACCUACGCUUAGGAUGUUGAGCGCAUGUCUCUCUCU